Gasterosteus aculeatus aculeatus (three-spined stickleback) is the source of this 3128-nucleotide long non-coding RNA. The record is from Ensembl. NCBI's taxonomy places the organism in Eukaryota, Metazoa, Chordata, Actinopteri, Perciformes, Gasterosteidae.
UCGGCGUCGGAGGAGGCGGCAUAUGCUAAUGACGGACAAAUGUCCACUGACCGUGACCUUGAGGACCACAGUAUAAAGCAGGCCACAUCUCACCGAGGUGUUGUUCCGUUACGGUCGUCCUGAAGUCAGCGGACAACUUUUUUUUUUGUUCGUUCCCUCGCCUCGUCUGUCUCGCUGGCGCGUCGGGUUGUUGCGCCGGAGAGGAGCGGCCGCCGCGUCGCGCUUUGACGUGAUGGAAUGCGGGGAGGCUGCAUCGUUCUUACCCAAGUCGGACCCGGGGACGUCACGCAAUGCGGCUUUUGACGGUAGGCCCAGUCUUGUAGGGAGAAAUCACAUCAAUAAAUAUUCAUAUCAGAAAUUAAUCCAGUUUUUUUUUAAUUCAGUCGAAUUCAUAUCUGGUUUUAAAUGGAAGGAAAAACAUUGCAGUUUGCUUUUGGAGUUACAUGUGUUGCCUUAAAAACUGAUCACAUGGCCAUUUCAUUUUUUUAUCCACGGCAAAAAGUUGCAAUUCUUUACUGUUUUAAUUGUAAAUUAUUUUUUGUGAAAGUUGAUUUAACACAUUUUUGUACAAUAACACACUCUGAUUUGGGGUAUUUAUUUGUAUGCUUUCCAACAUCCUCCACUGUCUGCUGUGAUGUUAGAGCCUGGGGCCCCGAUGAAGCAUCCAUCGAGCUCACCGGGGACACGUUCAAAGAUGAGAGGGCUCCGUCAGUGAAGGAGUACAACGUGAUCGAAGAACGAGGCUUCAUGCUGCGCAACCUGCUGCUCCGCCUGGUUGAUUUAUGCUCAUCCUCGGCACCCCGGUGGACGAGAAGAACUGUCGGCAUGCGCAGUCAAGGCCUCAUACCUGAUGGUGUGUGCUGAAUGUGCUGAAGGGACACAACGUCUAACAGGUGAGGUGGUGCAAUGUCGGCAAUCUGUGUUUUGAUUAAUUAGAAAAUCUCAAAGACAAUGAAUGAUGUUAUGUCAGUGGUGAAGUGUAAAAUGAGGCACAAACAAUAAACCGAAGUGCAGAAUGAAAUGUGCGCCACACGGUAGAGAACAUUCCGCGGGUUCAUUUUCCCUUCGUUCUGAUUGGAUGUGGUACGCUGAUGACAGACUGCCGAUUAAACCUCGGUUGAUCAGGAGCUUCUUUGUGCCUCAUCCUGAUGAAUUAGUAGUGCAUUUUCCCUUCUAAUGAACACCGUUCACUGCAGCUCAACAGCUCUGAGCAGCUGUGCAUCAACUUCCACCACAUGUUCAUCGUGGAGCAGAAGUACCAGAGGAAGGACAGCGAAUGGACUGUCAUCGACUUCGGGCUGGACUCUCAAGCCUACAUUUAUCUCCUUGUAAAGUUUCCCAGCACAAGAUCGGCGGCGAGGAGGAGAAGACGGCAGCCGCUCUCCAGGCCGCGUCCCAGCUUCACGAGGAAAACCUGAGCGAGCUGAUGACCGACCUACGCAGCUCCCGGCCUCACUCUGUUCGCUGCGUCAUCAGUGAUGAGAUCCGCGUGGCGAAUCCAAGUGCUAUCGCGUCCUGAUGGUUUUUGGACAGCAGGAAAGCUGUGCAGAAGCUGCUGUCCUCGUGGGGACCGACCACAGCCAGCAUGAGUCUGGACUCACAAAAAGUGAGGCUCUGAUGAUUAACGCCGUCGAGCCGACGCGCCCUGGAUGAAGCGCUUUCAGGAGCAGGACUCCGCAUCUUGCGGAUGCUGAGGAUCGCUGUAAGCUACUCAUCCAAACGAAGGUUGCCACGGAGGCCAAGGGGAAAGAGAUCGUGGCUAGAAGGACGAGGAGACGAUGACCAAGAAGCUAAAGCUGGAGGACAACGGUGCUGAGCUGAAGAGACAUUGAUGAUGUGGAGAUCACACUGGAUAAACGUGCCACUGAGAACAAGGAAGGACUGAAAUGAAUGCAAUCCGCUCCAGAAUAGGAGAUGAGCUAGCCAAGCUAAGUGGAGAAGCAGCGAUGCGAUGUGGCACGUGAGCUAGAAGCACUGAGCCCACUUUGGCUCAGACAAGAGAGAAGCAGAUCUACUGAAGCUGCUGCGAGACCAGCAGGAAACAGGUCCACCACGAGGCCGCUACGGCUACACGCUUGACAGUGUCAGAGCGACAUCAAGCGAGGUCAACUGUUGACCACUUCAGAGAAGAUGUCCAUCCUCCUGAUUGGUCUCCUAAGGCCAAAAAAGUCCUGGCACACACACUGCAAUCACCUCGAUAUAAAUGUCGUCUCCUGAAGGAGCAGGAAGCCUCAGCUGAGAUGGAGAGACGUUCCACGCCAACGCUCCUCAGUGGAGGACUAAGUAUGAAACUGAUGCCAUCCAGAGAAUUUAGGCCCUCUAUGAAGCCAAGGUGGAUGAGACGAGCUGAAGGUGCAGGUGCCAACGACCGAGUGGCGCACCAAUCUAUCAGACUGCUGAGGGGGAGGAGCGAAGCGCUCUGCUGAGGCAGAACGACCGUGCGUGCAAGCGAGCUGAGCUGCUUGAGGCCACAGACUCAACCUGUUGCUCUCAGGCAGUGAUGAUGGCAAAGGAGCUGAAGAAGGAGCAGGACACUAGUGCCCAUCUGGAGAGGAUGAUGAAGAAGAAGAACAAAGGUAAGGCCGAUGAGUGGACAAAGCGGAGCAGAUCGCCCUCAAGGGCGGCAGAAAGAAGGUCCAGAAGUUGGAGUUGAAUGAAUUGUUUAUAAUCUCUGUCAUGCAUGAAUAUUCCUCGUAUUAGUUUGUAACUUGAAAUGGCUUCUUCAGUUUUCUGGUCUGAAAGGUAAAAACUGGAGUAUGAGGAGAAUCAGGGAGCUCUCCUACCAGGUACAGCAGCAGGGUGGUCGCAUAGAAAUACAUGCUGUAGUGUCACAUAACAUGUCUUUAUAUGAGAUGCCCUUAUGCUCUCUAAAAGGUUAGGAACCAGUCCGCCUUCAGCUCAUGGACAAGCUGCAGACCAGGUUGAAGAGUUACAGGCUGAAGCAUCACAUGCUGAGUGACGGGAGGCGGAGAGCUACGGACAAACAUGUCACAGCAAGCCAGCUGCAACAGCUGUGCUCCACUGUGACAACACGGCCCAAAUAAAGACUUCAGAAAUGUACCUUACUGGGCGUUUUCUUUUACCAGUGUGCGAUAAAGAUAGCAAUCCCACAGUGAAGGUCUAAAGAG